AUUCCCCUUAAAUCCUAGCUCUCCAUUAAUAUUGCAUCUUGGCCUUUGAUUUCCUCAUUGUAUUUGACAUCUAUUUAUAUCCUUACUACAUGUCCCACUUUCUAAUAAGCCACUUUCAUCAUAUCCUUAUUCUGCCUUUUUUUAAUCCGAUAUCCAAAUCCUACCAUCAUGUUGUUAGUUUAUUGAGCAACCACAUUCUACCAUAAAUAGGCCAUAAAGAGGACAUCAAUUGGAGUUAUCAAGUGCACUCCACUUCUACUCAAAUAGAAGAGCAAAGAAGAAACAAGACUGCAACAAAUUGUACUGGGCGAAUUGAAAGCUUGAAUAUUGUGUUUGGAAGCAAAUCAGAGAAAAAUAAUUGUAACUGUAUUGUACGCCUUUUGAGCUCGAUUCAAGCUCGCCUGUGCGAAAUGACUAUCCAGCCAACAAAAUAGUCUAUUUGGCAUUUGUUUGCAACUGAUCUUUUACUAAAAGUGCCAUUUGUGCUGCUGCAUGAGCCAUUCUUUGGAGCAAAUGGCACUUUAAUAAAAGACGAAAUAGAAUAUCAGGUCACUGAAUAGCCAUUUCGUUUCAUGAAGGAGAGCUGAAUCGAGUUCGAGAAGCGUACAGUGCAGUUUGAAAGCAGUCCCUCCAAAGUUGAAGAAGCGUACAGCGCCAGUUUGAAAGUAGUUCCUCCAGAAAAUGCAGUCUCCACAACGCAUAGCUUCUGAAGAUUGUGUUUAUCUGUUCAAAGAAGCUUUGGAUCAUAUCAAUGGUAGAAAUCUGAGGCUUGGAUCUGAGUCCCUCCAAAGCCCAAGCAAGCAACGUCAAGACAGGGCUAAGCCUUGCUCUCACAGACUUUCAGACAUUCAGAGUUCAGUUCUCCCCAAUUUAGAGUUCACUUCUUUUUUUUGUAUUUAUUGUGCUGGAUUACACAGCUUUCAGUUCAUUGUAUUCUGACAUUCAAGAUCAUCUCAAACAUUCUGAGUAGCAAAAAGAGAAGAAUAUAUUAUAUUUUGUUGUAUUCCA
Cryptomeria japonica (Japanese cedar) is the source of this 1008-nucleotide long non-coding RNA. RefSeq lists it as uncharacterized. The record is from RefSeq and is a predicted model, not a curated record. The transcript is spliced from 2 exons. Lineage: Eukaryota; Viridiplantae; Streptophyta; Pinopsida; Cupressales; Cupressaceae.